UCUUAUCGCGAGAGGCGGAGGGCUCGGCCCGAAGAAGCCUCGGCAACCACUGCGCGUGGGCAACGCUGAAUUUAGGCUGACAAGCGCGUGGCAGGUGCCAAUUCCGACAGCAUGGUCUGAAAGAUGAGA
Molecule: non-coding RNA, 129 nt
Filed under: marine eukaryotic metagenome
Description: SAM riboswitch (S box leader)
Rfam family: SAM riboswitch aptamer (S box leader)
About the family: The SAM riboswitch is found upstream of a number of genes which code for proteins involved in methionine or cysteine biosynthesis in Gram-positive bacteria. The SAM riboswitch acts at the level of transcription termination control.
Source: RNAcentral